This 1716-nucleotide ribosomal RNA is filed under the name Triticum aestivum (bread wheat). Its description in RNAcentral is "partial small subunit ribosomal RNA". Lineage: Eukaryota; Viridiplantae; Streptophyta; Magnoliopsida; Poales; Poaceae. The record is from RNAcentral.
AUGGCCAUGAGCGCGGCCACCGCCGCCACGCUCCUCCCGAGGUCCAGCACCGGCACGCCUCGCCUCGCCUCCACCUACCCCUCCUCGUCGGCAGCUCACGGGAGGAGCCGCCUCCUCCCCAUCAGAUGCCAGUCGCCCGGAGUUGACAAAACCACCAAGCCUAAGAGGAACUUGUUUGACAACGCCAGCAACCUUCUCACCAAUUUGCUCGCUGGCGGCAACCUCAAGAAUAUGCCGGUUGCCGAAGGUGCUGUCACUGACCUGUUCGACCGGCCCCUUUUCUAUUCGCUCUAUGAUUGGUUCCUCGAGCACGGUUCCGUCUACAAACUUGCUUUUGGACCCAAAUCAUUUGUUGUCGUCUCUGAUCCAAUUGUUGCUAGAUACAUCCUACGAGAAAAUGCUUUCUCUUAUGAUAAGGGAGUUCUCGCUGAAAUUCUAGAACCAAUAAUGGGGAAGGGUCUUAUACCUGCUGACCUUGAUACCUGGAAGCAAAGGAGAAAAGUUAUAACUCCUGGGUUCCAUGCCUUAUUCAUAGAAGCUAUGGUGAGAGUAUUUACCAAAUGUUCAGAGAGAACCAUAUUGAAACUUGAAGCACUUAUUGAAAAGGGAGACCAUGGUGACAAAUCUACCACAGUGAACCUUGAAGAGGAAUUCUCCAAUUUGGCUCUCGACAUAAUUGGCUUGGGAGUGUUCAAUUUUGAUUUUGACUCUGUUAAUAAGGAAUCUCCUGUAAUCAAGGCAGUAUAUGGUACUCUUUUUGAAGCUGAGCAUCGAUCCACCUUUUACAUCCCUUACUGGAAUCUUCCUUUAACUCAAUGGAUAGUGCCAAGACAGCGGAAGUUCCGCAGUGACCUCAAGGUUAUCAAUAAUUGCCUUGAUGAUCUUAUUAAAAAUGCAAAAGAAACAAGACAGGAAGCUGAUGUGGAAAAACUCCAGCAGAGAGACUACUCAUCAUUGAAGGAUGCCAGCUUACUGAGGUUCCUUGUUGACAUGCGGGGAGCUGAUGUUGACGACCGCCAGCUUCGAGAUGAUCUUAUGACAAUGCUUAUCGCCGGACAUGAAACAACUGCGGCUGUUCUGACAUGGUCUAUUUUUCUACUGGCCCAGAAUCCCACGAAGAUGAGAAAAGCCCAGGCAGAGAUUGAUUCUGUACUGAUCGAUGGGGUAAUCACUGCAGAAAAGCUCAAGAAAUUGGAGUACAUAAGAUUAAUCAUUGUUGAAGCUCUUCGCUUGUAUCCUCAACCCCCAUUGUUAAUCAGGCGUUCUCUCCGGCCUGAUAAAUUGCCAGGUGGGUACAACGGAGCGAAAGAGGGAUACGAAAUACCAGCAGGAACCGAUAUAUUUCUUUCGAUAUACAAUCUCCAUAGGUCCCCGUACUUUUGGGAUAGGCCAAAUGAGUUUGAACCAGAGAGGUUUACAGUCCCAAAGAAGGAUGAGAACAUAGAAGGGUGGGCUGGGUUUGAUCCUGACCGGAGUCCUGGCGCGAUGUAUCCGAACGAGAUUAUAGCAGACUUUGCUUUCCUCCCCUUCGGCGGAGGACCACGCAAAUGCGUGGGAGACCAAUUCGCGCUCCUGGAGUCAACAGUGGCCUUGGCCCUGCUAUUGCAAAAGUUUGACGUGGAGCUGCGAGGCUCGCCCGAUGAAGUAGAGAUGGUGACAGGCGCGACGAUUCACACAAAGAACGGGUUGUGGUGCAGGCUGAGGAAAAGGAGUUGA